This 588-nucleotide unclassified non-coding RNA is filed under the name Wallrothiella subiculosa. Its description in RNAcentral is "sequence contains 18S rRNA gene, ITS1, 5.8S rRNA gene, ITS2, 28S rRNA gene". The stretch from base 212 to 365 matches the Rfam family "5.8S ribosomal RNA". The record is from RNAcentral. Lineage: Eukaryota; Fungi; Ascomycota; Sordariomycetes; Amplistromataceae.
GUAACAAGGUCUCCGUUGGUGAACCAGCGGAGGGAUCAUUACUGAGUGUAAAAACUCCCAACCCUUUGUGAACAUACCUCUGUUGCUUCGGCGGAUGCGCCCCGGGCGCGCCUCUCAGGAGGCGUGCCCCGGAACCAGGCGCCCGCCGGGGGACCUACAAACUCUUGUAUUCUAGCGGAUCUCUGAGUGUGAUUUAAACAAAUCAAAUCAAAACUUUCAACAACGGAUCUCUUGGCUCUAGCAUCGAUGAAGAACGCAGCGAAAUGCGAUAAGUAAUGCGAAUUGCAGAAUUCAGUGAAUCAUCGAAUCUUUGAACGCACAUUGCGCCCGCUAGUAUUCUGGCGGGCAUGCCUGUCUGAGCGUCAUUUCAACCCUCGUCCCCCGUCUAGGCGGGAGGGCGGUGUUGGGGAUGGGCCUGCCUCCGGGCCGGCCCGCCCCUAAAUGUAGUGGCGACCCACGCCGUAGCCUCCUCUGCGUAGUAGUAACUCACCUCGCGGGCGGAGAGCGGUGCGGUCCGCCGUAAAACCCCCUACUUUCUCAAGGUUGACCUCAGAUCAGGUAGGAAUACCCGCUGAACCUAAGCAUAUC